CGAACGGGAUAGCAAUAUCCAGUGGCGAACGGGUGCGUAACACGUGAAGAAUUUGUCCAACGGUGGGGGAUAGCCGGCCCAACGGCCGGGUAAUACCGCGUACGACCUUCGGGGGACAUCCCCUGAUGGUGAAAGUCGCAAGACGCCGAUGGAGAACUUCGCGGCCUAUCAACUAGUUGGUAGGGUAAUGGCCUACCAAGGCGACGACGGGUAGCUGGUCCGAGAGGAUGACCAGCCACAUUGGGACUGAGACACGGCCCAGACUCCUACGGGAGGCAGCAGUGGGGAAUAUUGCGCAAUGGGCGAAAGCCUGACGCAGCGACGCCGCGUGUGGGAUGACGGCCUUCGGGUUGUAAACCACUGUCGGGAGGGACGAAGCUCUGACGGUACCUCCAAAGGAAGCACCGGCUAACUCUGUGCCAGCAGCCGCGGUAAUACAGAGGGUGCGAGCGUUGUCCGGAAUCACUGGGCGUAAAGGGCGCGUAGGCGGCUCGCUAAGUAGGGGGUGAAAUCUCGCGGCUCAACCGCGGGGCUGCCUUCUAAACUGGCGGGCUCGAGCACGGUAGAGGCUGGUGGAAUUCCCGG
RNAcentral lists this ribosomal RNA (585 nucleotides) under uncultured Segniliparus sp. RNAcentral's name for it is "bacterial SSU rRNA". It matches the Rfam family "Bacterial small subunit ribosomal RNA", at positions 63 to 673 of the family's 1533-position model. Lineage: Bacteria; Bacillati; Actinomycetota; Actinomycetes; Mycobacteriales; Segniliparaceae. The record is from RNAcentral.